This 315-nucleotide ribosomal RNA is filed under the name Triticum aestivum (bread wheat). RNAcentral describes it as "partial small subunit ribosomal RNA". Lineage: Eukaryota; Viridiplantae; Streptophyta; Magnoliopsida; Poales; Poaceae. The record is from RNAcentral.
AAGGAUUUGGGUGCUCUGCAUUACUUCCUUGGUUUGGAGGUGUCACGGUCUUCUACUGGGUUGACUCUGACUCAGAAAAAGUAUUCUUUGGAUUUGUUGCGUCGUGCUGGGAUGCUCAAAUGCAAACAUGCUAUCACUCCGAUGUCUGCGACUGAUCGGUUGUCUGCCCUUGAUGGAGAUCUUCUUUCCACUGAUGACGCCACUGAGUAUCGUAGUAUUGUUGGUGGUCUGCAAUAUCUCACUAUCACCAGGCCUGAUGUCUCUUAUGCAGUCAACCGUGUGUGCCAGUACCUUCAUGCACCUCGUACCACUCAU